UUUAUUUAAAAUAGAAAUCUUUUCUAACAAUAUACACUACCGUUCAAAAGUUUGGGGACAGUACAUUUUUAUUCUAUCUUUUUUUAUUCAGCAAGGAUGUGUUAAAUUGAUAAGAAGUGAUAGCAAAUAUUUAAAUUGUUAGGAAAUAUUUAUAUUUUGAAUAAAUGUUGUUCUUUUGAACUUUUUAUUCAUCAAAGAAUCCUGAAAAAAGUAUUGCAGUUUCCAAAAAAAUAAAUAAAUAAAUAAAUAAAUUUGGCAGCACAACUGUUGCAAACAUUGAUAAUCCUAAUAAUAAAUCAGCAUAUUAGAAUGAUUUCUGAAGGACCAUGUGACACUUUAUACUGGAGUAAUGGCUGAUGGAAACUCAGCUUUGCAUCACAGAAAUAAAUUCUAUUUUAAAGGAUAUUAAAAUAGAAAAAAAAAAUUUAUAUUGUAAUAACAUUUUGCAAGAUUACUGUUUUUUAUCAAAUAAAUGCAGCCUUCAUGAGCAUAAGAGACUUCUUUAAAAAACAUUACAAGUCUUAUUGAUCGCAAAACUUUUGAAUGGCAGUGUAUUUGUAAAAGCUGCAUUAUUUGGAAAUGACUUUGUUACAGUUACAACUAAAAUUUUGGCCCGUUCCUCAGACAAACCUGUAGAUUGAAUACAAUUAAAAUUGCAUCAUAUUGGACAAACUACUCCUUUAAGACAUUUGCGUGUAAUCUGCAUGAAUAAAACUAACUACAAAUACAAGCAAGUGACUUUUUCUUUAGGACAUAUGUGCAAUAUGUUUGCGUAGGAAUUUAGUGUUGUCUUCAGAGGUGUUUUUAUUAGAGCAAAAUACUAGUUUUUUUCCAAGGGAAAACAAGUGGGCUGGCUGCUAAAAGAGAAAGUGCAAAGAAAGAAAGCAAAAGUAAGCAGCGUGUAUAUAUUCAGAAAGCAGAUGCAAGGCAGUGAGCAUUAAAAGCCAAGUGUGGAACUGCUGACAAGACAUGGACACUGUAUCCAGCAAUUUCACUGCUCUGGUGGAGAAGGUCUACUCAUUCUUCUGGGGGGACAAGCAGCAGUUCAACAGCCAAUCAGAAUCAGACAGAGCCAUCAGAGAGCUGUAAUGAAAGUGACAUCCCAGUCACAAAACCUGCUGAAACAUGGGUGUCUGAGGUCCAGGAGGUUAGCAGUCCUGUACAAACCACUGUAAAUGCACAUUCAGGUCAUUAUGAUCAUCCACACAUCCCGCUUCAGUACUCAAACUCAUUCAGUGAUGCUGAUGAAACUGCUGAAGUGGACAAGAUCAACAUCAUUGUGAAAUGUGCUGGGAAAACCACGGAAGUGGACAUGUUUCCCAGGGAAAGCAUCUCAGUUUUACUAAAGGAGGCCUGUGACCGGGCAGGGAAGAAACCAGAGAAAAUGGCACUGGUUUAUGAAGGAAACUGUCUGGAUGUGAACAAGACAGUGAGCUGCUAUGGACUACGAGGAGGAACCACCGUACAUUUGAUUCAUGCCUAGAACUCAUGUUUCUGUUUACAGUAUACCAGUACACUACUGUACAUAAAAUAUUGUUCAAACUCAACUGUAUUAGUAGUAGUUGUAGUAGUAGUAGUAGUAGUAGUAGUCAGUGCUCAUGGGUUAUUGUUGAAAGUAUUGCAUUGCUGUGUACAGUCUCAAAUACAUUGUAAUAUAUAAAAAAUAAAACUGACUUGCAACACUGACUCACAUAUAUGAGUUCAAUCAGACAGUAUUUUUUACUUAUAUUGGGACACUUUAUGGCUGAUAACAUAUUGAUUAUGUAAAGCCUAUCAAUGUCAAGCAAUACAUUUCUCUACUUAAUCAUCCAGGUAACAGAAAUUUAUUAACAACUCAUCAAAAGUUCUAAAACACAAAUAGGCUUAGGUGGUAGCAAGUUGAUACCAUAAGGGUUCAACAACCCCCAAUAUCUCACGUGUAAAUGUGCAAUACUUUACACCAGACCAAAACAGUAAUUCAAAACAGUGACACAGGCCAGCUCCUAAAACAGAGCCAGAAAGACACCCUCCUUAUUGUGCUAAAACAUUCAAAAUAAUUUUUUUAAAAAAAACACCAUACAUCAAAUAACAUGAAUACAAAAAAAUACACAUUCCAAUACAGCACAAUAUAAAACAAACAUACACUUCAACCAUAUAUAUCACAUACCUAGUACCAGCUAGACAAGAGUUUUCCAACUCUGGCACAAACCAUCAUUGCCAUCUGCACAAAACAUUUAAAUGCACAUGAUUAUACACAAUAUCACACUUUUAAAAAGUAUUACAUCCAACAUUGUCACAUACCUAACAACAGCUACGACAACUGUUUUCCCAAGCUGGCACAAACCAUCAUUGCAGUCUCCAAGCAAGAAAUCACCACCACUCAUCUGGCAAUCAGCAUGCACCUGCCAUUACUCCAAAGCUAAUGCCAUCCCAUUCAUAAAGGACACGUAGGCUAGAAACUACCGUACUCACCCUACCAAACAGGACUACCAUAAAUACUAUAGUGUUUGUAGCCAUUACAUUCACCGCCCCCACCACUGAUCAUCGUCCCGAUGAUCUUAUAAUUUCCUUUAUUAACCACCUACUUAAAACUACAAUCCCCACACUUUUCCAUAUUAUGUCAAAAGCCCAGUGUCCUUUAUAAACAAUGGUCUACUCUAAAACCCCACUAUCUUGUAUACUAGACACAACAGAUCUGGGUAGAUUAAAUGGGUUAGAAUGCCUCCCUGCUGUUGGCCUACUAGACUGCCGCAAUUGAACUGGUGGUACUUGAGUGACUUCAAACAUUCGAGAUUCUUCUGAACCAACUUGCUCCACUGAAUCAACAUCUGAUUCACUACAUAACUCUGGUCCUGAUUGAUUUCCCACCCUCAGCAAGGAUUCAGUUGGGGCCUCUUCCCUAACAACCCAUGCUUCAUCCGAAUCACUAUCAGAGACUACCUCACUAUAACUCUGAACAUCCUGAUGAACCGCCCCUACUACCCCUGGACCACACGGCCUCAAUUCUGUUCUAUGAACAUUCUUUGGUGGGCAAGAUUCAUCCACAGGAGCAACUGUAAACACCGCUUUAGUGUCAUCUGGCUGAGCUAUCACUUUGAAGGGCGUAGGCAUCCACAAAUCCUGAAUCUUAUGCCUUCCUAAAAAAAUUGUGGUUCCUACGAUAAACCAAUUGACCCACCUGCAAAGAACUCUGUAGUGAAGGAGGACCAAUAUAUCUAUUCCUAACUUCAGCAGCAUAUUCCAUCUGCCCCCCUUGCUUUUUGAUAAGCCUCUUUAAAUCGCUCCUGAUGCCCCACCACCCACUCAUCAACCGUCUCUAUAAAAUCUGACUGACUUACCCCAAACAAAAUGUCAACUGGUAACUUUGGCGACUGUCCAAAAACCAAAAAAUAUGGGCUAUAACCAGUACUUGCAUGUUCUGUUGUAUUAUAAGCAAAAACAACCUCUGGUAAAUAUUCAACCCAUCUUCUUUUCUUCAAUGGUGAGAGAGUUCUUAAAUUAUGCAGGGUUCGAUUGAACCUCUCGCAUUGACCAUUGCCCUGAGGAUGAUAGGGGAUAGUUCGACUCUGCUUAAUCCCAUACAUUUUACACAAGUUUCGGACAACCUCUGCCUCAAAACAUCUCCCCUGAUCCCAAUGAAUUCGUUGGGGGACCCCAUACUUGUGAAUCCACUCCCUAACAAGGGAUUUUGUCACGGUCACUGCCUUUUGGUCCCGGGUAGGUACCGCAACCACAAAUUUUGAAAACACAUCAGUGAAAAUCAAGACAUUCUCCUUACCAUCACUAGAAGGUUCUAGAACAGUGAAAUCCAUAGCUACCACUUCAAAGGGUCUUCUAGCUAACAAACUACCUGUUUCGGUUACUUACUUUGGCACUGGGGCUUUUGCCACAAUACAUCGCUCGCAUUGCUUACAAUAAGUUUCAAUAUCUUGAAACAUUCCUGGCCAAUAACAUCUAGCUCUGACCAGCUUAAAAGUGCGUUCUACACCCUGAUGCCCAUGUUCGUCAUGUAACCCACGAAGGACUUCCUCCUUCAGACUCUGGGGUAGGAGCACCUGUUUAAUCUGGCCUUGUUUAGUAUCCACAAAUUGGCGAUACAAGACUCCUUCCUCCUCUACCAACUUCUCCCAUUGCUGAAAAAGUUCCAAGACCUUAACAUCCUCUUUAGCCCUCGCUAAUCUACCAGGUUUUACUUUCUGACUCCAAUACACAUGAAACCUUGCAAUAAUGGGGUCGGCCUGCUGUUGAGCUGCCCAAACUGCGUGUGAAAACACAGGGAAGCUACAUGUGGUUGUCUGCUCAUUAACCAUCAUUGUAUGACCCUUCUCUGGAGUUUGAUUAAAAAUACUCCCCUCAAAUGCAGGUUUAGCUAUUAACUGGUUUUUGUCGUGACAAUGCAUCCGCCCCCACAUUUUGACGCCCUGGCCUAUAAUGAAUUUCAAAAUCAAAUCUAGCCAGCUCUGAAACCCACCUCUGCUCAAUGGCACCAAACUUGGCAGUCUGCAGAUGGCUCAACGGAUUAUUAUCCGUAAACACUAUAAAUUUGUGACCUAACAAAUAGUCACGAAACUUAUCUGUGACUGCCCAUUUUAAUGCCAACAGCUCUAGCUUCAUGGCACUAUAAUUCUCCAUGUUCCGCUCGGAUGGCCUUAACCCACGACUUGCAUAUGCAAUCGGUCUUCUUCCAUAUUUCCCUUCUUGGGACAAUAUUGCUCCCAACCCAUGAUGGCUAGCAUCAAUUUCCAAAAAAAGAAGGGCUUUGUAAAAUAUGCAUAGCCAAGUACCGG
Molecule: long non-coding RNA, 4766 nt
Organism: Cyprinus carpio carpio
Lineage: Eukaryota; Metazoa; Chordata; Actinopteri; Cypriniformes; Cyprinidae
Source: Ensembl